This 460-nucleotide ribosomal RNA is filed under the name uncultured bacterium. Its description in RNAcentral is "partial 16S ribosomal RNA". It matches the Rfam family "Bacterial small subunit ribosomal RNA", at positions 338 to 795 of the family's 1533-position model. The record is from RNAcentral.
CCUACGGGGAGCAGCAGUGGGGAAUAUUGGUCAAUGGACGAGAGUCUGAACCAGCCAAGUAGCGUGAAGGAUGACUGCCCUAUGGGUUGUAAACUUCUUUUAUAUGGGAAUAAAAUGUUCCACGUGUGGGAUUUUGUAUGUACCAUAUGAAUAAGGAUCGGCUAACUCCGUGCCAGCAGCCGCGGUAAUACGGAGGAUCCGAGCGUUAUCCGGAUUUAUUGGGUUUAAAGGGAGCGUAGGUGGAUUGUUAAGUCAGUUGUGAAAGUUUGCGGCUCAACCGUAAAAUUGCAGUUGAAACUGGCAGUCUUGAGUACAGUAGAGGUGGGCGGAAUUCGUGGUGUAGCGGUGAAAUGCUUAGAUAUCACGAAGAACUCCGAUUGCGAAGGCAGUUCACUGGACUGCAACUGACACUGAGGCUCGAAAGUGUGGGUAUCAAACAGGAUUAGAUACCCGAGUAGUC